GUUAGAGGAAUACAGUCUAAGUUCGCGUCAUCGUGUUGCAACGCCUGCAUGACCUGCAUCCUGCAGG
Molecule: small RNA, 67 nt
Filed under: Psychrobacillus sp. OK032
Lineage: Bacteria; Bacillati; Bacillota; Bacilli; Caryophanales; Bacillaceae
Description: Bacillaceae-1 RNA
Rfam family: Bacillaceae-1 RNA
Source: RNAcentral